GAAAUGCGAUAAGUAGUGUGAAUUGCAGAAUUCAGUGAAUCAUCGAAUCUUUGAACGCACAUUGCGCCCCUCGGCAUUCCGUGGGGCAUGCCUGUUCGAGCGUCAUCUACACCCUCAAGCUCUUCUUGGUGUUGGGCGUCUGUCCCGCCUCCGCGCGCGGACUCGCCCCAAAUGCAUUGGCAGCGGUUCCUUGCCCCCCUCUUUGCGCAGCACAUUGCCAUUCGAGGCGGCGGCGGCCCGCGUCCAACAAGCUCAACCCCCCCGUCUUUGACCUCGGAUCAGGUAGGGAUACCCGCUGAACUUAAGC
Molecule: unclassified non-coding RNA, 307 nt
Filed under: plant metagenome
Description: partial contains 5.8S ribosomal RNA, internal transcribed spacer 2, and large subunit ribosomal RNA
Rfam family: 5.8S ribosomal RNA (bases 1-105)
Source: RNAcentral